This 49-nucleotide small nucleolar RNA is filed under the name Pyrobaculum calidifontis JCM 11548. RNAcentral describes it as "PCAsR133". The record is from RNAcentral. Lineage: Archaea; Thermoproteati; Thermoproteota; Thermoprotei; Thermoproteales; Thermoproteaceae.
AUGAUGAAUGGGUGUUGAAGGGACAGAUGCCCGCGGUCUGGCUCACUGA